Long non-coding RNA from Triticum dicoccoides, 1044 nucleotides. RefSeq lists it as uncharacterized. NCBI's taxonomy places the organism in Eukaryota, Viridiplantae, Streptophyta, Magnoliopsida, Poales, Poaceae. The record is from RefSeq and is a predicted model, not a curated record. The transcript has 4 exons.
GUGCUACGGAGCCAUUUCCCUAAUCGAUCAGGUGCUCCCUGCAUUCUCUCUCAGCUGUACCGUGUUUUCAAGGCCACACUGCAGCAGGACUAGCUAGGAGCACCGGUGAGCAACUUGUCGACGAGGUGUGUGGCAGCUUUGACGGCAGCAGCGGCGCAGCAUGUCGUGGUGUUGUUUGCUCACAGCAGCCACCCAGUUUUGCGCUUCUCCGCUGGACGCUGUAGGGGUGCCGUGCCAUAUGGAAGACGGGAAGAUGCUCACAUGCCGGUUUGCUGGGUUUGCCGGGAAGCUCAGCCCGACGAGUUUGGGUUCUUCAACCUUCUCCAUGGAUUCAAUGGCAUGAUUUUGUGUAAACGAAAAUCUUGCAAGGAAGAGGUUACGAACCUGAAUGGUAUGGAGGACGUACUACAUGUGUACAUCAAGGGAAAAAAGAGGAGAAACGUGUAUUUGAACCCAAGAGCCUUGACACCCACUAAUUACUUUGUAGAGUCCUCAAGAUCUAUAUAACUGCCUACAGGUACUUAUUUUCCUAUCUAAGUAGGACCUCCAUCAUUAUAGCCGCCUCCACCUGCACUUCUCCACUUCUUUGCUGUUGCCGAGCACUAGCAUUUUCGGCCAUCAAUUUUGCUCACUGCCGCUCACGGUCCAUAUGCUGCAGCUUCGAGCAUCUUCUUGCAGCAAAAGACAGCAAAGGAAAUGAUGUUGGCUCUGCUGGAUGGAACAAAUUUGAACUAAUGUUCUGCUGAGCAUUCUACUUCUACGUACAUCAAAGUUAUCCACAAUUGACUCGUGAUUUCUCAUCAUAGCUGUGUCCUUCACUGCUCCUUUGUUUUGCUUGAAGUGUUAGAUUUUUGUCAUGGGUGAAUAAAGAGAUAGAAAAUAGAGGCUCACGCCUCAAGAUGUUUGAUGUUAGGACUAAACAGAAAGGAGAGGACCAUUUUUUUGUUUGGCAAGUUUGCUAGCAUCAAACUGUAUCAAGUUCAGUGACUCAUGUGCAUAUGGUAAGUGUGUUUAAUAGAAUGAUUCGUGCAAAAUCUUAUCCAA